RNAcentral lists this ribosomal RNA (253 nucleotides) under uncultured bacterium. Its description in RNAcentral is "partial 16S ribosomal RNA". It matches the Rfam family "Bacterial small subunit ribosomal RNA", at positions 524 to 776 of the family's 1533-position model. The record is from RNAcentral.
UACAUGUGGGGCAAGCGUUGUUCGGAAUCACUGGGCGUAAAGGGUGCGUAGGCCGCACGGUAAGUCAGAGGUGAAAUCCCGGAGCUCAACUUCGGAAUUGCCUCCGAUACUGCCGUGCUUGAGGACUGGAGAGGAGAUUGGAAUUCACAGUGGAGCAGUGAAAUGCGUAGAUAUUGUGAGGAACACUAGUGGCGAAGGCGAAUCUCUGGACAGUUCCUGACGCUGAGGCACGAAGGCCAGGGGAGCAAACGGG